This 289-nucleotide ribosomal RNA is filed under the name uncultured bacterium. Its description in RNAcentral is "partial 16S ribosomal RNA". It matches the Rfam family "Bacterial small subunit ribosomal RNA", at positions 32 to 301 of the family's 1533-position model. The record is from RNAcentral.
AAUCAACGCUGGCGGCGUGCCUCAGACAUGCAAGUCGAACGCGAAAGUUCCCUUCGGGGGAUAAGUAGAGUGGCGUCCGGGUGAGUAACACGUAGGUAAUCUACCUUUGGGUGGGGAAUAACAACCGGAAACGGUUGCUAAUACCGCAUAAUGCGAGCGGCACCACAUGGUGACAGUUGUUAAAGCGGGGGAUCGCAAGACCUCGCGCCUAAAGAGGGCCUGCGGCGGAUUAGCUAGUUGGUAGGGAACGGCCUACCAAGGCAACGAUCCGUAGCCGGCCUGAGAGGGC